RNAcentral lists this ribosomal RNA (117 nucleotides) under Chloroflexota bacterium. The record is from RNAcentral. Lineage: Bacteria; Bacillati; Chloroflexota.
CCCGGUGACUUGAGCGGGGUGGACCCACCCGUUCCCAUCCCGAACACGGAAGUGAAACGCCCCAGCGCCGAAGAUACUGCCCCCGCAAGGGGGUGGGAAAAUAGGCCGUUGCCGGGA